CUGUAAUUCCUCUGACUCCUUCCCUGCUGGGUCUGAUAAUCUCACAUAGCUGGCUUGCCCCAGAUCCCUGGGUCCCUAAAGAGGCUUAGGCCAUCACAGCUACAAAAAUCUACUGCUACAGUAAAUCCUAGAGAGAAAGGCUGCAAUGACACAGUGUUUCCCUUCCGAAGUGGCUCUGCAGAAUGCUAAACGCACACAACGCCUGGAGCAGCUCAGGGCCCACAUCCGCAGACAUGCAUUGAAAACCUGGAAUCCUCCUUGAACUGGCAUCGCUGGGUGACCUCAUGCACCUACUUGUCAUCUCAGCAGUUUCAGCGUCACUGUUCCUCCUUAGAUUCAUUAAGCAAAUAUUUAACAUCCGAAGAAAGGAAAGCGCCCCGCGGCCUGAGCGGCCCGUCCUGCUGUUCUCCCCACAGCCAGGCCAAUAAAAACAGAGCCCCGAAGCA
RNAcentral lists this long non-coding RNA (446 nucleotides) under Struthio camelus australis. RNAcentral describes it as "lncRNA (ENSSCUG00000009679.1)". The record is from RNAcentral. Lineage: Eukaryota; Metazoa; Chordata; Aves; Struthioniformes; Struthionidae.